UACGUAGGGCGCAAGCGUUGUCCGGAAUUAUUGGGCGUAAAGAGCUCGUAGGUGGUCUGUUACGUCUGCUGUGAAAACCCAGGGCUUAACCCUGGGCCUGCAGUGGAUACGGGCAGACUAGAGGUAGGUAGGGGGAGAAUGGAAUUCCCGGUGUAGCGGUGAAAUGCGCAGAUAUCAGGAGGAACACCGGUGGCGAAGGCGGGUCUCUGGGCCGAUAUUGACGCUGAGGAGCGAAAGCGUGGGGAGCGAACAGG
RNAcentral lists this ribosomal RNA (254 nucleotides) under uncultured bacterium. RNAcentral's name for it is "partial 16S ribosomal RNA". It matches the Rfam family "Bacterial small subunit ribosomal RNA", at positions 524 to 776 of the family's 1533-position model. The record is from RNAcentral.